RNAcentral lists this long non-coding RNA (334 nucleotides) under Olea europaea subsp. europaea. Lineage: Eukaryota; Viridiplantae; Streptophyta; Magnoliopsida; Lamiales; Oleaceae. The record is from RNAcentral.
AGUUGCCAAAAAUUUGGCUCAAUCCGGAUUCUCUAACGUCUAGAAAAAGGGAAACGAGAUAUUGCCAUAAAUAGUAAAAAAAAUACUAAAAAUUGAAUUUCGAAAAGAAAAAUAGCAAAUUUUGGGACCAAAAUUGAUGCCCACCGAGCAUAGCUGGGUGGAAAUGACGUGCGCGCUGAAGAGAUCUUUUCGGAUUGGGGUCAUAAUAGCGAUUCUGAUAACCGUAAUCAAAGUUAUGGUCAAAUUAUCAAAAACGUGUCAAAAUUACCCCAAUUAAGGAAAUAUUGCAUUUAUUUUCCAUCUUUACGUUUAUCCUCCAUCUCAUGGUAUUUCA